This 231-nucleotide long non-coding RNA is filed under the name Gossypium barbadense (sea-island cotton). Its description in RNAcentral is "long non-coding RNA (GBAR_LNC022873)". Lineage: Eukaryota; Viridiplantae; Streptophyta; Magnoliopsida; Malvales; Malvaceae. The record is from RNAcentral.
CCUCCCUAAGCCUUUAGGGGUUUCGACUUUUCUAAAACCCGAAAUAAAGAAUAGAUUCGAAAACUUACCACCGGUUCCUUCAGUCAAUGAUUCCACUUAGUUCCUAUUCAGUUCUGAUGUAGAUCUAACCCCUCGAAUGUUAGCAGAAAACAAAUCUUUAAAGGUCUAAAGAUUCAGCUAUGCCCCUAAGACUAUGGGGUUUUGGGCUUUUUGAAAUAGUGAAGAGAAAGA